GUGAGGAAUUUUCCGCAAUGGGCGAAAGCCUGACGGAGCAAUGCCGCGUGAAGGAUGAAGGCCUAUGGGUUGUAAACUUCUUUUCUCAGAAAAGAAUUAUGACGGUAUCUGAGGAAUAAGCAUCGGCUAACUCUGUGCCAGCAGCCGCGGUAAUACGGAGGAUCCAAGCGUUAUCCGGAAUCAUUGGGUUUAAAGGGUCCGUAGGCGGCCUUAUAAGUCAGUGGUGAAAUCUCCUAGCUCAACUAGGAAACUGCCAUUGAUACUGUAGGGCUUGAAUUUUUGUGAAGUAACUAGAAUAUGUAGUGUAGCGGUGAAAUGCUUAGAUAUUACAUGGAAUACCAAUUGCGAAGGCAGGUUACUAACAAACGAUUGACGCUGAUGGACGAAAGCGUGGGGAGCGAACAGGAUUAGAAACCCGAGUAGUCC
Molecule: ribosomal RNA, 426 nt
Filed under: uncultured bacterium
Lineage: Bacteria
Description: bacterial SSU rRNA
Rfam family: Bacterial small subunit ribosomal RNA
Source: RNAcentral